This 444-nucleotide ribosomal RNA is filed under the name uncultured bacterium. RNAcentral's name for it is "bacterial SSU rRNA". It matches the Rfam family "Bacterial small subunit ribosomal RNA", at positions 339 to 797 of the family's 1533-position model. The record is from RNAcentral.
UUACGGGAGGCAGCAGUGGGGAAUUUUCCGCAAUGGGCGAAAGCCUGACGGAGCAAGACCGCGUGAGGGAGGAAGGCUCUUGGGUUGUAAACCUCUUUUCUCAGGGAAGAACAAAAUGACGGUACCUGAGGAAUCAGCCUCGGCUAACUCCGUGCCAGCAGCCGCGGUAAUACGGAGGAGGCAAGCGUUAUCCGGAAUUAUUGGGCGUAAAGCGUCCGCAGGUGGCACUUCAAGUCUGUCGUCAAAGACUGGGGCUUAACCCUGGAAAGGCGGUGGAAACUGAAGCGCUAGAGUGUGGUAGGGGUAGAGGGAAUUCCCGGUGUAGCGGUGAAAUGCGUAGAGAUCGGGAAGAACAUCGGUGGCGAAAGCGCUCUACUGGACCACAACUGACACUCAGGGACGAAAGCUAGGGGAGCGAAUGGGAUUAGAUACCCCGGUAGUCCU